RNAcentral lists this ribosomal RNA (522 nucleotides) under Eimeria maxima. RNAcentral's name for it is "bacterial SSU rRNA". It matches the Rfam family "Bacterial small subunit ribosomal RNA", at positions 22 to 573 of the family's 1533-position model. The record is from RNAcentral. Lineage: Eukaryota; Apicomplexa; Conoidasida; Eucoccidiorida; Eimeriidae.
GCUCAGGAAAAACGCAAGAGACGUGCCUAACACAUGCAAAUUAAAUAGUUUAUUAUUAACUAUAGUGAAUUGGUGAGUAAUAUAUGAAAAUUUAAUUUUAGAUUAGAAGUAUUCUUAAUAACUUAGGAAUAAUCUCUGAUAAGCACAUAUAUUUAUAUUUUGCUUUUAAAAGUUAAAACUGUCUAAAAAAAAGUUCAUAUCUGAUUAGCUAAUUAAUAAGAUAAUAACUUAUUAAGGCGAAGAUCAGUAGCUGCCCUGAGAGGGGGAUCAGCCACAUUGGGAUUGAAAUACAGCCCAAACUCCUACGGGAGGCUGCAGUGGGGAAUCUUCUGCAAUGAGCGCAAGCUUGACAGAGCAUCGUCGCGUGAAGGAAGACAGCUUAUUAUAGUUGUAAACUUCUUUUGCUUAAAAGUGAAUACUGACACUUAAGUAAAUAAAGUAUCGGCAAACUCCGUGCCAGCAGCCGCGGUAAAACGGGGGAUACAAGCGUUAUCCGGAAUUACUGGGCGUAAAGCGUAUGUA